This is a long non-coding RNA of Cimex lectularius (bed bug), 142 nucleotides long. RefSeq lists it as uncharacterized. NCBI's taxonomy places the organism in Eukaryota, Metazoa, Arthropoda, Insecta, Hemiptera, Cimicidae. The record is from RefSeq and is a predicted model, not a curated record. The transcript is spliced from 2 exons.
CAUGCUGGUCUACGUUUGAUAAUAUAAUGCGCAGUCGAUCAAACCAAGUUCAUUUCGUCGUAGGCGUUCGCUGAAGGAGGUCGUCCAAAUAACAAGAUGGACUCUAUGAAACUCGUACGUGCUCUCAACCAAAUCACUGCUC